Molecule: long non-coding RNA, 623 nt
Organism: Pimephales promelas (fathead minnow)
Lineage: Eukaryota; Metazoa; Chordata; Actinopteri; Cypriniformes; Leuciscidae
Source: RefSeq, a predicted model, not a curated record
AAAUGAUUGGUCGACAUUAUGCAUGAGGAAUACAUUUUGGGCCCAAUCCACAGCGAUGAUUAGAGUGAUGUCAUCUGUAGGAAGUCCCACUGAGGUUAACACUAUCACCAUGGUUACCAGGCCGGCCUGUGGGAUGCCGGCAGCACCGAUACUGGCUGCUGUAGCCGUGAUGCUGAAUGUUGAUACACAGACACACAAUAGCACAGGUUUACCGGAUAAGGUCCAGUAGCGCAUCAGCAGAGCUCAUGAUGGGCUUCCCGCUGUCCUCCGAGUCCUCCUUCUGGGCAGCUCCACCCGGGUGGAUGAUGAUGACCAUGACGAUGCCCACCACCACAGCCACAAAGGUCGUCCACAGAUAAUAAGAAAUUGUCAUGAUGCCCAGUCGACUGGAACAUUUGGCAUCCAGUGCUGCCAAGCCAGACAUCAAACUGAGGAGAGAAAAACAUUUUUUUAAGGAAUACAUCAAAUUACUCUAAGUUGAAUGCAGAGAUGAUUUUUUAAAAAAAAAAUCUUUGAAAUGCCAUACAUCUAAAAUACCCACACCCAAAAUAUUGCAGUCGCUAAUUGAUGUCAGUCUGUCAUUGAGUAAAAUAAUUAACAUGAAGAAAAGAAAGAAGUGUGAC